RNAcentral lists this long non-coding RNA (631 nucleotides) under Homo sapiens (human). Its description in RNAcentral is "HSALNT0169552". Lineage: Eukaryota; Metazoa; Chordata; Mammalia; Primates; Hominidae. The record is from RNAcentral.
UCGAGGUCCAAGAGCGGCUGUAUUUGGGGACUGCUGUUCGUGAGGGACCAUUAGAGGUAUUGCAUUUUGGAAAACGGCUGGCUUCCGCACCGUGGACACCUAAAGCCGACGCCGCUCUACCCAAACGCAGAAAUCACUUCACCUCUCCACUGCGUGAGCCACCGCGCCUGGCCUCUUGUCUAAGUCUUAACCUCUGUGUGUUUCCUCCCUGUACCAUGUCAGAACUAGACGGUGUCUUUGUUCCACAAAACUGCUCCCAACCCGCGAACCGGAGAUUGCAUCUGCCUCUGGGUCUGAGUGCCAUUGGUAGAUCUGCAGUAUAAUACAAGAGAUCUUAUGGGCCAAAGUCUGGGGUAUUUUCUGUAGUAGCUGUGAAAUACUGCUGGUCCUAUGUCCUAGGCAAGGCCCUCAAAUGCCCCUAGCGAGACUGCCUUCCAACCAAAAGGAAUUGUUUGCUAGGCCACGUUUCUGUUGUCUUGGCAGACAGAAGCCCAGUAACAAGUCCCUAAAGAUAAAAUAGCAUCAGAAAUCCUUCCUAGGAUCGGAUGCGCAUCUCCUAUAGAUGCUGUUCUGAGAUCUUCAGGCAGCCACUAGUGAUAGGGUAAGAUAAAAGGCAGACAGGAGGCCGGAC